UACGUAUGUCGCGAGCGUUAUCCGGAAUUAUUGGGCAUAAAGGGCAUCUAGGCGGCCUAACAAGUCAGGGGUGAAAACCUGCGGCUCAACCGCAGGCUUGCCUUUGAAACUGUAAGGCUGGAGUAUCGGAGAGGUGGACGGAACUGCACGAGUAGAGGUGAAAGUCGUAGAUAUGUGCAGGAAUGCCGAUGAUGAAGAUAGUUCACUGGACGAUAACUGACGCUGAAGUGCGAAAGCCGGGGGAGCAAACAGG
This 253-nucleotide ribosomal RNA is filed under the name uncultured bacterium. RNAcentral's name for it is "partial 16S ribosomal RNA". It matches the Rfam family "Bacterial small subunit ribosomal RNA", at positions 524 to 776 of the family's 1533-position model. The record is from RNAcentral.